UGUGUCCUGAGGGAGGAUCAUGGAGGGAGCAGGCUGAUGACACAGUUCCUGAGUUUCCAGCCUUUCUGGGCUGUGUUUUCCUUUCUGAGCACAGAGGCGACCUUCUGGGAACACUCUUUCUGCAGAUGCCUGCCGGGAAGAUAAAGAUGGCAUAAGAAAGGGCAGAAGAGACUGGAAUAUCCCAGAGCCCAGGGCUGGGGAUCCCACUCAGGGUGCAGGUACACGCUUGCCCUCCCCCAUCUGGAUGGGAAGAUCAGAAGAGUUCCUGUUAUUCUCCGUUCCCAGACCUUGAACAUGUAGGGAUUCAGGUUCACCUCCGCCCUCUCUUCCUGGUGGGUCUGCAGGUAAUUUCUGCUGCCCGCCCAGUAUCCUGACAGGGAGGAGGCAGGAGAUGCAGUGCGGCUGGCCUCGAACCCUCACCCUCAGGCAACCAAGGUGGAUAUUGCCUACAGGAUCACUUUGCGCUGUGCAGUGAGAAAGGAUGCUUGGUUUCAUAAAAAAUGUGAAAUGUACCCAAGUUGACUUUUCAGAAAAUCAAAUUAAAAUGCCACCACUGUUUAUUUACUUUUUAAUUUUUUCCAGCUUUGGGGCCUUACAC
This is a long non-coding RNA of Erinaceus europaeus (western European hedgehog), 598 nucleotides long. RefSeq lists it as uncharacterized. Lineage: Eukaryota; Metazoa; Chordata; Mammalia; Eulipotyphla; Erinaceidae. The transcript has 5 exons. The record is from RefSeq and is a predicted model, not a curated record.